ACACCUCAACUCUUCAUGGUUUUUCUGUGAUGAGCUUGGACUUUGGGGGUUUUGCUGGCCUAUGGUCGGCUCCUCUAAAAUGAAUCAGCUUGCCAGUGUUUGGUGGGCAUCACGGGUGUGAUAACUAUCUACGCUUGUGGUUUUCCACCAGGUAACCUUCAGCAAUGGAGGUUCGCUGGAGCUCACAGAUGUCUCUCCUCGGUGAGGAUGACCCUUUGAAU
Molecule: unclassified non-coding RNA, 221 nt
Filed under: uncultured Tomentella
Lineage: Eukaryota; Fungi; Basidiomycota; Agaricomycetes; Thelephorales; Thelephoraceae
Description: sequence contains ITS2
Source: RNAcentral